Molecule: ribosomal RNA, 1334 nt
Filed under: uncultured bacterium
Lineage: Bacteria
Description: partial 16S ribosomal RNA
Rfam family: Bacterial small subunit ribosomal RNA
Source: RNAcentral
GAUGAACGCUAGCUACAGGCUUAACACAUGCAAGUCGAGGGGCAGCAUGGGAGAAGCUUGCUUCUUCUGAUGGCGACCGGCGCACGGGUGCGUAACGCGUAUCAAACCUGCCUCAUACUCGGGGAUAGCCUUGCGAAAGUAAGAUUAAUACCCGAUGUUGUUAUGUUACCGCAUGGUGAUAUAACCAAAGAUUUAUCGGUAUGAGAUGGUGAUGCGUCCGAUUAGGUAGUAGGCGGGGUAACGGCCCACCUAGCCAUCGAUCGGUAGGGGUUCUGAGAGGAAGGUCCCCCACACUGGAACUGAGACACGGUCCAGACUCCUACGGGAGGCAGCAGUGAGGAAUAUUGGUCAAUGGACGGAAGUCUGAACCAGCCAAGUAGCGUGCAGGAUGACGGCCCUCUGGGUUGUAAACUGCUUUUAUAAGUGAGGAUUAUGACAGUAACUUAUGAAUAAGGAUCGGCUAACUACGUGCCAGCAGCCGCGGUCAUACGUAGGAUCCGAGCGUUAUCCGGAGUGACUGGGCGUAAAGAGUUGCGUAGGUGGUUUAAUAAGCGAAUAGUGAAAUCUGGUGGCUCAACCAUUCAGACUAUUAUUCGAACUGUUGAACUCGAGAGCAGAAGAGGUAGCUGGAAUUUCUAGUGUAGGAGUGAAAUCCGUAGAUAUUAGAAGGAACACCGAUGGCGUAGGCAGGCUACUGGGCUGUUUCUGACACUGAGGCACGAAAGCGUGGGGAGCGAACCGGAUUAGAUACCCGGGUAGUCCACGCCGUAAACGAUGGAUACUAGCUGUUUGGGGUAUCGACCCCCUGAGUAGCGAAGCUAACGCGUUAAGUAUCCCGCCUGUGGAGUACGAUCGCAAGAUUAAAACAUAAAGGAAUUGACGGGGACCCGCACAAGCGGUGGAUCAUGUUCUUUAAUUCGAUGAUAACCGAUAAACCUUACCAGGUCUUGACAUCCUUGGAAUCUUUCAGAAAUGAGAGAGUGCUUUUUAAGAGCCAAGUGACAGGUGAUGCAUGGCCGUCGUCAGCUCGUGUCGUGAGAUGUUUGGUUAAGUCCAUCAACGAGCGCAACCCUUGUGAAUAGUUGUAUUUUUCUAUUCAGACUGCCCCGGCAACGGGGAGGAAGGAGGGGAUGACGUCAGGUCAGUAUUUCCCUUACGUCCUGGGCUAGAAACGUGAUACAAUGGCUAGUACAAUGCGCAGCGAAGCCGCGAGGUGAAGCAAAUCGCAUCAAAGCUAGUCCCAGUUCGGAUUGUAGGCUGAAACUCGCCUGCAUGAAGUCGGAAUCGCUAGUAAUCGCAGAUCAGCAUGCUGCGGUGAAUACGUUCCCGGGUCU